Molecule: ribosomal RNA, 253 nt
Filed under: uncultured bacterium
Lineage: Bacteria
Description: partial 16S ribosomal RNA
Rfam family: Bacterial small subunit ribosomal RNA
Source: RNAcentral
UACGGAGGGGGCGAGCGUUAUUCGGAAUUAUUGGGCGUAAAGGGCGCGUAGGCGGCUGAACAAGUCAAAGGUGAAAUCCCUCGGCUCAACUGAGGAACUGCCUUUGAAACUGUUCGGCUUGAGGCCGGGAGGGGGUAGCGGAAUUCCCAGUGUAGCGGUGAAAUGCGUAGAGAUGUGGAGGAACACCAGUGGCGAAGGCGGCUUUCUGGUCUGUAACUGACGCUGAGGCGCGAAAGCGUGGGGAGCAAACAGG